Molecule: non-coding RNA, 388 nt
Organism: Peromyscus maniculatus bairdii (prairie deer mouse)
Lineage: Eukaryota; Metazoa; Chordata; Mammalia; Rodentia; Cricetidae
Source: RefSeq, a predicted model, not a curated record
GAGAAAGGUCCAGUUUGCAUACUGGAGCCACCAAAGGUCACCAAGCAGGAAGCAGCAUUUCACCAAGAGGAGAAGUGAGCAGUGGACUGUUUAACUGCUAAGGACUAAAGGUGCUGAGAUGUUAUGCUGACAUAAUUGUGUAUAUGUACUUUGUCAGUGUUUCUUCCUGGGUUCUGACAAGAAUGAGCACAUGACACUAGAAUCUUCACCUUGGAUUUCUGUGUUCGCAUAUCUAGUUUCUUGACGGCACCGUCUCCAAUCCUUCCCUCCCUUUCUGUCUUGGCCACUGACAACGUAUCCAGGCCAUAGGAAACUUAAACACAAUGUGACAAUCAUCAUCAGCCAAGAUGCCUGCAGUCCUAAGAUGGCACAAGGUGAAAUAAGGUCA